Molecule: ribosomal RNA, 427 nt
Filed under: uncultured Dokdonella sp.
Lineage: Bacteria; Pseudomonadati; Pseudomonadota; Gammaproteobacteria; Lysobacterales; Rhodanobacteraceae
Description: bacterial SSU rRNA
Rfam family: Bacterial small subunit ribosomal RNA
Source: RNAcentral
UGGGGAAUAUUGGACAAUGGGCGCAAGCCUGAUCCAGCCAUGCCGCGUGUGUGAAGAAGGCCUUCGGGUUGUAAAGCACUUUUGUUGGGAAAGAAAUCCUGUCGGCGAAUACCCGGCGGGGAUGACGGUACCCAAAGAAUAAGCACCGGCUAACUUCGUGCCAGCAGCCGCGGUAAUACGAAGGGUGCAAGCGUUACUCGGAAUUACUGGGCGUAAAGCGUGCGUAGGCGGUUCGUUAAGUCUGUCGUGAAAGCCCUGGGCUCAACCUGGGAAUUGCGAUGGAUACUGGCGGGCUAGAGUACGGUAGAGGAUGGUGGAAUUCCCGGUGUAGCGGUGAAAUGCGUAGAGAUCGGGAGGAACACCCGUGGCGAAGGCGGCCAUCUGGACCAGUACUGACGCUGAGGCACGAAAGCGUGGGGAGCAAACA